Long non-coding RNA from Nerophis ophidion (straightnose pipefish), 561 nucleotides. RefSeq lists it as uncharacterized. The record is from RefSeq and is a predicted model, not a curated record. The transcript is spliced from 4 exons. Lineage: Eukaryota; Metazoa; Chordata; Actinopteri; Syngnathiformes; Syngnathidae.
CAUAAAUAGAAGUGCAACGUCACCUACAUUCUCUCUUUCUUCCUCGCCAUCUUCUGAGUGGCAGACGACCUACUUUUCUUUGGUGAGCUAUUCUCGCACGGUUUUGGAUCUUUUAACGCAAGGUUUGGUACACAGGUUUUGGAUCUUUUAACGCAAGGUUUGGUACACAGGAGACGGGCCGAAAAUGCAUCCUGCUCAUCCAAACGGAGUAGAUUUAAACCAAGUACUGAGUGUUUUAUUGUAUACAGAAUAUCCAUGUAACUCAACUUUAAUGUCCAUGCCUGUUGUAUUCAGCAGAUAGCAGCAUCAUUUAAUGAAAGGAGAGUAAAUCCUGUUGCACUUUUUUUUUUUUUUUUUCUUUACAUUUUCUAUCUGUUUUUGUAGGGGAAAAUACCUAUUUUUUAAAUUAUUAUUCCUUGGCGAGUUUUAAAUUGAAAAGUUGUCACUGAGAACAUACUUUUUUAUUUAUAUUUCAAGUUAUAAGUUGUGUUAAAGUAACGGGUACUACACACUUCUUACUGUUCUGUGCAAAUAUAUAAUAAACUUCUGAUUGUGCUGAAA